CAUUCUGAUUCUUCCCAGGCCUAUUAUAGCAACCCACUUGAGGCAGGGUCACAAGACCGAUCUUCAACAAAACACUUCAUUCUCUCUGUAGGCUUGUAGUAUAGAAGUUGGGAGCUGACUGAUCAUCUCUAUCAUUCUAUAUAUGGAACAAAACGGGCAGCAUGGAUGAAAAUAUAUAUGAAUGAGACUUUUCAUUGUCCUGGUAAGGUACCGAGAAGUACCAAAUUUUUAAUGUAAAUUUUAACACCUAUUGGUGUCUGAGGUGAUCAAAUUUUACACUAUAAUAUAAUAUGUGGUAUCACCCGGUAUCUUCUCGUGGACUAUAAAAUUAAUCCAUAUAGAUGCAAAAUCUGUAUCGAUGCAGUAAUUCAAGUUGUGCCGCUGAAUCCAAUAUGCACCUCUGCACCUGUCUCAUCACUACAAUACUGAUCGGUUCCAUUGAAUGAAGUAACUGGCCUGUUCAUCUCUCCUUUUGGCAAGGGAAAAAGAGUUUUCCCCUUUAGCCUUUGUAGCACUGGAGCUAUUGUCAUAAUCUCAACAUGGCUGCAGUAUUUGAUUGCCUGCAAUUUAUGCAAAACCUGCAGUUCAGUUUGACUGCACACAUCAGGACCACAGGGCUACCACUUUUUGUCCAGUUCAUCAUUUGGGAAAUAUUUGAAACCAUCACGCCAUCAGAAUUGAGAUCAGUUUAGGUGGUCAAAUCUGAAAGAUUAAAUAUCAGUAUAUCACAAGAAAAUAUUAAUCUACCCCCACUUUUUAGCAUCAUUUGAAUAUAACGAAGUUCCUCAAUUUCUAGCAUCUUCCGAAUGUUACUAUUGUUCCUCAAUUGUGCUGGCUCGAUCAGUAAGCGCAGGUCCUAAACAAACAUAUAUCACCUUGAAUCUGAACAACUGCUCAGAGGAGUUAAAGACUAACAAACUACACGAUUUGCAUACACACAAGACAUUAUACAGAAGGAGGACAGUUAAUUUGUGCCUGUCACAUAGUUACUCCAUUGAUAUGCCUGCCACCGUUGUCGCCGGCCACUGCAUGGCAACGAUUUCAGCUUACUCAUGGUAAUGCAACAACAACAUCCCAUCUGCGGUGAGCGAUCCGCUGCACAUAUACGCCCAUUUCCACUCUGAUGGCACACCAGUGAAAAGACUACUCCUGAUGCCUCCUAGGCCAAACAAAAGCAUAUGCAUCGCAAAGCAACCCGAGCUGCACAGUGAGUGGCAAUGGCCUGGUCUGCAUGCCCUCUGUUCUUGAAAUGCGGUGCAUUUCUGUCAGCCUUUCAAUGCAGCACCUACCACCUGUAUAUAUGGGCCAAUUAUCAUCGAUGGGGGACUGGAUAUAUCUCAGCGCUUGAUCAUAUAAUGUUCAAUUCGAUUGAAAAGUUUGGUUGAGAAACAAGGAAAAGUUGAUGAAUAUCUGGUAACUUGAUCCAGAGCCGUUAAUUCACACCAAAUCAUGUCGACCUUUAGGAAGAUGGGACAAUAUUAAUUAAUUAUCUGAUAUAACUGAAAAUUUCAGCACUAAACAGUAGUGCACUGUGUAUCAUGUAUGACUCCUGCAAUAGUUGUAAGACAUAAAGGGUGCGGUUCAGUUAACACAUGCACCUCAUCUACCAGAAAUUUACCACAAUAGUCGAAUUCACCACUUCAAUAGGAAA
Molecule: non-coding RNA, 1651 nt
Organism: Oryza sativa Japonica Group (Japanese rice)
Lineage: Eukaryota; Viridiplantae; Streptophyta; Magnoliopsida; Poales; Poaceae
Source: RefSeq, a predicted model, not a curated record